RNAcentral lists this ribosomal RNA (1349 nucleotides) under metagenome. RNAcentral's name for it is "bacterial LSU rRNA". It matches the Rfam family "Bacterial large subunit ribosomal RNA", at positions 1564 to 2925 of the family's 2925-position model. The record is from RNAcentral.
UGAGUGCGAGCUGCUACGGCAGCGAAGUUGGUGAUGUCAUGCUUCCAAGAAAAGCCCUAUACCCGUUAAGGCAUCAUGGCCUGUACCCGAAACCGACACAGGUGGGGUGGUAGAGAAUACCGAGGGGCGCGAGGUAACUCUCUCUAAGGAACUCGGCAAAAUGGCCCCGUAACUUCGGGAGAAGGGGUGCCACCGCAAGGUGGUCGCAGUGAAGAGGCCCAGGCGACUGUUUACCAAAAACACAGGUCUCCGCUAAGUCGCAAGACGAUGUAUGGGGGCUGACGCCUGCCCAGUGCCGGAAGGUUAAGGAAGCUGGUCAGCGCAAGCGAAGCUAGCGACUGAAGCCCCGGUGAACGGCGGCCGUAACAAUAACGGUCCUAAGGUAGCGAAAUUCCUUGUCGGGUAAGUUCCGACCCGCACGAAAGGCGUAACGAUCUGGGCGCUGUCUCGGAGAGAGGCUCGGCGAAAUAGAAUUGUCUGUGAAGAUGCGGACUACGUGCACCCGGACAGAAAGACCCUAUGAAGCUUUACUGUAGCUUGGUAUUGUGCCCGGGCUCGCAAUGCGCAGGAUAGGUGGGAGGCUUUGAUCAUCGGCUUGCGGGUCGAUGUGAGCCAACGGUGAGAUACCACUCUUUGCGAGCUAGGGUUCUAACGGCCACCCGUCAUCCGGGGGCCGGACAGUACCUGGUGGGCAGUUUGACUGGGGCGGUCGCCUCCUAAAAGGUAACGGAGGCGCGCAAAGGUUUGCUCAGGCUGGUUGGAAAUCAGCCGACGAGUGUAAAAGCAGAAGCAAGCUUGACUGUGAGACCAACAAGUCGAACAGGGAGGAAACUCGGCUUUAGUGAUCCGACGGUUCUGAGUGGAAGGGCCGUCGCUCAACGGAUAAAAGUUACUCUAGGAUAACAGGCUGAUCUCCCCCAAGAGUUCACAUCGACGGGGAGGUUUGGCACCUCGAUGUCGGCUCAUCGCAACCUGGGGCUGAAGUCGGUCCCAAGGGUUGGGCUGUUCGCCCAUUAAAGCGGUACGCGAGCUGGGUUCAGAACGUCGUGAGACAGUUCGGUCCAUAUCCGGUGCACGCGCAGGAAUAUUGAGAGGAUUUCUCCCUAGUACGAGAGGACCGGGAGGAACGCACCUCUGGUGUACCAGUUAUCGUGCCAACGGUAAACGCUGGGUAGCCAUGUGCGGAGUGGAUAACCGCCGAAAGCAUCUAAGUGGGAAGCCCACCUCAAGAUGAGUAUUCCCAUGGCGUAAGCCAGUAAGGUCACGGGAAGAACACCCGUUGAUAGGCUCUAUGUGGAAGCGCAGUAAUGCGUGAAGCAGAGGAGUACUAAUAGACCGAGGGCUUGACC